GAAAUGCGAUAAGUAGUGUGAAUUGCAGAAUUUAGCGAAUCAUCGAAUCUUUGAACGCACAUUGCGCCCCUUGGUAUUCCAUGGGGCAUGCCUGUUCGAGCGUCAUUUCAACCCUCAAGCACUGCUUGGUGUUGGGCGUUUGUCCCGCCUACGCGCGUGGACUCGCCUCAAAGUCAUUGGCAGCUGUUCCCCUUCGGCUCGUAAGCGCAGCACAGUCGGCGCCCGGAGCUCUGGUGUGAUGGCGUCCAGCAAGCUAUAUUUUCAGGCUUGACCUCGGAUCAGGUAGGGAUACCCGCUGAACUUAAGC
This 307-nucleotide unclassified non-coding RNA is filed under the name plant metagenome. RNAcentral describes it as "partial contains 5.8S ribosomal RNA, internal transcribed spacer 2, and large subunit ribosomal RNA". The stretch from base 1 to 105 matches the Rfam family "5.8S ribosomal RNA", at positions 50 to 154 of the family's 154-position model. The record is from RNAcentral.